UACGUAGGGGGCAAGCGUUGUCCGGAUUUAUUGGGCGUAAAGAGCGUGUAGGCGGCCAGACAGGUCUGCUGUGAAAACUCGAGGCUCAACCUCGAGACGCCGGUGGAAACCGUCUGGCUAGAGUCCGGAAGAGGAGAGUGGAAUUCCUGGUGUAGCGGUGAAAUGCGCAGAUAUCAGGAAGAACACCCGUGGCGAAGGCGGCUCUCUGGUACGGUACUGACGCUGAGACGCGAAAGCGUGGGGAGCGAACAGG
RNAcentral lists this ribosomal RNA (253 nucleotides) under uncultured bacterium. Its description in RNAcentral is "partial 16S ribosomal RNA". It matches the Rfam family "Bacterial small subunit ribosomal RNA", at positions 524 to 776 of the family's 1533-position model. The record is from RNAcentral.